RNAcentral lists this long non-coding RNA (1090 nucleotides) under Danio rerio (zebrafish). Its description in RNAcentral is "lncRNA si:ch211-242a9.1 (ENSDARG00000097626.2)". Lineage: Eukaryota; Metazoa; Chordata; Actinopteri; Cypriniformes; Danionidae. The record is from RNAcentral.
UGCAAACAUAGCUCACUAGGUGGCAGUGUUUUGCUGGUAACUGUUUUGAACGACGCACAUUUGGUACUAAGGAGCCCAGUUGGGUGCCCAGAAAAAUUUCUUUCACACAUUACACCACCAGCAGCCUGAAACGUUUAUACAAGCAGGUGGGUGACAGCACCAUAAGGAGUCUGUGUUCCUGCACAAAGAUUAGGUAAUCAAGGACUCGAGGGCAGCUGUUGGUUUGGAGAUGAGUGAUAAACAUAUGGCUUUGCUGUCAAUAUCAGGCAUGAUGAAUGGCCUACUCAAGGUGUUGUUUUGAGGGAGCAGGCUGUUCCUCCUGGUCAGGCCUGGAUCUCUGUCAUCUCAGCGAAGGCCCAAACACGUGCAGCGGCUGACAAGUGUUCCACCUCUGCAUAAGGACAUCCAGCCCUCAUUCCUCUCCCAACACGAGCCCACGGCUGACUUAAUUGAAGUGGGCAGUGUGAGGACCGAAGUCAACACACACACACUCGCAUUCAUGGAGGUCCGUGGAAUGAGUCGACUAAUGGAAGACCAGCUGGCUGGAUUCUUCAUGAAAUAGGGGUACAUGUCAGGAGGAGAGAAAAGAUCACUGCAGGCUGGCGGAGCUCCCUUCAUCUUUCAGACCACACGUCUACGAGCUCUGGCUGUUCCUCAUGGAUCCCUUCUGCCUUGAUAUCCACAUGGGGUUGAAGUGAAACCACCAUCAUCAGCGGUUUGACCACUCUUUUGCAAUAAAAGAAUUAGUUUUCUCCAGCAUUCCUGUUGACCUAUGAAAACUCUGGGCACAUCCAAACCACCCAGCUGACUGCACACUUGUUGAAAGCCCACGCAGUUCGCAAAAAGCAUAAUGAAGACAGGAAGAAAAAGUUAGCGACUCUCGAGGAAAAGGAAAAUAAAUAUUGCUGCUUCAAGCGAGAUUUUAUCUGCUGAGAUGGUUGAUACGCUUGUCAUGAACUUGCACGAGGAAAGAGGAAAAAAGGGCUGAUUUGGUAAGAUGGAGCCGUGGUUCUGCUGAGGGCAUGUCAUCUGUGCUUCCAAGAAAGGAACAGAUAAAAGGCAUCAGUCAACAAACUCCCAUUUAACACUA